GAAGAUUUUUUUUUUUUUAUCAUUUGUCCUAUGGUUUUGGUUUUAUUUUACUUCAAUGGCAUUAUUUUAUUUGCAAUAACAGAAAAGGAAUUGCAUGUAUGAAGUUUUAAAUUGUGGGCUUUUCUUUGUUGUGGGGAGGGGGCUGGGGGGAGAUCGUUUUAAUUUCCAUUUUCUAAAAAGGACAGACUUGGAUUCUGUUUGUGCGUGUGCAUAUUUUAUUCAGCCUUAAAUUAUAAAUCUCAUCUGUCCCACUGCAUUCCCUGUGUAUUUUCAGGACAUAGCUCGUGGGUGUGUGUGUUCAGUGUGUGUGUCUGUGUAUAUUUUUCUGUCGUUACUGUUCCUUCUCCUCCCGAGUUUUCUGCAUUCAGUUGAUAAAUCAGUUGCCUGCUUCUCUCAAAGUGCUUUGAAGGUCUUGAACUCCCGUAUGAGCAUCUUUAUUGCUGUCCCAGUUGCAUGUUCCCCAUCACAUAUUCUCUCUUAUUUGCUAGAUACCCCCUGAGAAUAUGUUCUAGAGAUUUGGAGUAAAGCUGUCUGGAUAAAGGAGGAGGCUUGGCAGACCUGUGAAUAAUACACUUUAGUCUAGUUCUUUCUUCUAAAUUUGGAUUGCCAGUAUUAUGUAUUUAAACCAAGUCUGUGAACACCUGCCUUUUUGGCCACGGGGUAACAAGUUUUCACGAAGAUCUUCAUGCCAAAGUAGGAAGUAAAAAUAGCUUCAAAAGCCCUGUUGGGUGUCUUGUGCAGCUGACAGAGGUAAGGUUACAUCGCUUCGAAAAAGAAAGCAAGACAGUCGAUUACCCUAAAAGUAAAUUCUCUUUGGAAAAUACAGUGCACCACACACGUCCGUCUAGAAAUCCACUAUCUGAUAAACAGUUAAAAUGCAAAAUAGGCUUGAUUCUUAGUCAAUUUACUCCCUGGUUCUGAGUGAACUUCUUUUCUUAGCCUUGCUGUCUUGUUUGUUUUAUUUUUUCUUCACCUUUUAAAGACACGCAUGACAUAGGAAAGUCAAUAUUGUUUCCUUUUUUCUUUUUUCUUUCUCUCUCUUUUUUUUAGAAUUCAUGGAUCAAUCUAAUCUUAUUAAUAAUGGAACAUGUAAAUAUAGUGAGAACUGUUUUUCAGGAGAUGAGUGUGGGUUGGAGGGAAGGAAGGUGGUUCUACUUGUGUUCCAGAAUCCUCGUCAGAGAAGGUAUCUUGUCCUUCGGGGAGCACCUGAAGGUGUGGAGGGGUUUAGCCAGUUUAACAGAAAAGAUGGAGGAAGGAGCGUAACGCUUACCAGUUUCCCAGCCUGUAUUUUUAUAUCACGACUGUUUAUGUUCUCAGAGUUGGUGAAGGACCACCUUUGUGUAUAAAAGUGUCGCUUCAACCUUGCAAUGGUAACAAAAUGACCUGCUUUAUCUGGGUAGAAUUCAAGAUGGCUGUAUCUUCAGUUGUAUGAUAAAAACGGUUCACAUGACUGUGUGGCAUCUAAAAAUAAUACCUGUUUUUACAGCAUCUCUCUGCCACUAAAUUGUUGACUUGAAUUUUGAAAAACAAGUUGGUGUUGAUAUGUAUAUGUGUGUGUGUAUAUAUGUAUUUAUAGACAAGUGUGUGUGAGUGCCACGUGAGUUAAUAGUCUUCCCCUACGCAUGUGUAUCCACACACACAUGGCUGAGUUAUAGUCACUAAACAAUUUGCAAUAAAAACAAAAGAUUCAUUGUCAGUGAAAACAGGAAUUAGUGUUUUAAUAAAUCUGCUCUUAUGGUGAGUAAACUCUUUAAGAACGCUCGUUGCCAUAUUAACUUAGGCUAAGAUUGAAGAGUACCAUAAUUUGUGUCUAAAUUCAGACUGAGAUAGAAAUCACUCAAGUUGUGGGGUGUUGCUUCUUAUUUCACACUGUAAUAGGAAACAUCAUUUCUAUUAAUUCAGAUACCUAAAAUGAAUAGUUUUCUGUAUCCUCUUUUCUUUGUUUUUCUGUCGUUGUUAGUGGUCUCAAAAUUCUGAUCAAUAACUUUGUGUGUAGUGCUGAAUCCCAAACUCUGAAUGAUCCAGUUGAAAACCCAUCCCUGUCCUUCCUUCAGCUGAGGUUUGGGGAUGGUGAGUUUCCCUCAGUGUCCUGCAUUAUACCAGACUAAAGGAAGAACAGGUAAUAAAUAGGGAGAAAGAAAUGUCUGUCUAGUGGCUUUGGUCAUGUCUCCACAGGAGAGACGAACCAUUCGAUUGUCUUUCGAUUUUAGUUCAUUCCACUCUAAGGAGUUUGUUUCUUUCAGUUGUUGGCUUGCCAGAGUGUCGCAGUAGCAGUAGCUAUCCCUCUGUUGGUCUCUUGGUCAACACUGGUCCAUCAGACUGUUUUGAUUGGUAGUCGUUAUUGGUAGAGUCAUGCCCUGCACCGUUAUCUUCUAAGUUUAAAAAAAAAAAAAAAAAGUGCACAGGCAUUUCAUCGGUUUUUUCCUUAACCCACCCUCACCCCACGCCAACACUGACAUGCUGUCUGUGGACGAAGAGCGAUUCCCAGAAUCUUUAGGCAAGCUGCCACCAUCCCCUUGCCGUGGGCUUUCCCAGUAGGUGCACAUAUGUUUCUGUUUCUGUACAGUACUCUGUAUUUUUUGAUAAAAUAGCUAUUUGACUUAGCAGGGUUGAAGUGGCUUUUAAUUAUCUUGUGGGCAUUAUUGGACACGUCUUUUUAAAAACAAUCUGACCUUAAUCGUGCCACACUUGGUUGACUAAUUUAUUUUGAGCAUUAAAGUUUUUCUUCUGUUAAUUUAGACAUUAUCACAAUUCUGUAUCGUUACUGACUUAGGAAAGAUUGCACUUAAGCUUCUGUUAAAUGUGAUUUCUUGGCAGAUUUUCCUUUGAGUCAAAUGUCUGAAACAAUGAACAUAUAUCCCAAUUUUAAACUAACUAAUUGUGGAAAGAACAUUUUUAAACAAUUCCAAGUUUAAAUCCAUAAGACACUUCAAGAUCUUCAGAACUUUAAAGCACAUUUAAAAUUAUUUUAGUAAGAAUUUUGUUUUAUCAAUACAUGUUGAAUUCUGUUUUUUAGUUAAAAAAAAAAACACAAAGCUUAGAUUUCAGAAAGAGGGAGGGAGAAUAGCUGGUGGUCCCAGAGUGUGCUGCUGUUAAUUGUUUAAUUAACAAAGGGGAAAUGUAUAUAAACAGAUAUAAAAGUUACCAUAAAUUCCAUGAACUUAAAUCUGUGAUUCAUUGCCUUAAAACUUUCUCUCUUAGAAUUUCCAUACCGCAUGCCAAACCAGUAAAAUGGCUUUUAAAAAUGUAUAGUAGACCAAUGUCAGUUUGUAUAAAAGUACCAAGUGAAAAUAUUUAUUACAUGCAUUGGAAAAAAAUUGUUUACCUAUUGAAUGUUACCUGUUUAUGUAGAGCUCUUUAGAUGUAAUAAAAGAAAAGCCUUCAGUUAAUUUGUCUUCUGUAAAAUAUACUGUGGGUAUGCAAGGGACCAUCCCCGUAAGAAAACUGAUAAUGCUUGGUGUUUCAGAGCACCAUUCAUCCAGAGAUUUCAAAGCAUGGCAGUUAAUUCCCUUGCAACAUGCUUUGAGGUAAGUAAUGCAUAUACAGCCAUCAUUCCCCCUUUCUUACUGAAAUAUGGCAAGCUUUGUACUGAAACCACAGCAUCUGUUUAGUUUUAAAUCUAUUUGAUAAUCUGCAGUUUGAGUGCUAAGAGAGGUGUGGCCUGUUUUUGUAAACAACGCUAGGUGCCAGGUAAACCAACUGGGAUUUCAGGAAUGAACAAGAAACGGCCUUGGGGUAGUAAGAGAAGGCCUUUCCUGGGGUAGAGGUUUCAGUGAGAACGAGUCAUAGGGUUUUGGAGUCCUAGCCACUGAACACCCAGAAUUAGGAACAUGGAGUCGGUGCAGAUGAGCCCAGGCUCUAACGACCAAGCCACUCAGGGGCUUUGGGCAAGCGAUACUUCCUGGUAGGAAAAUGAGAUUGAUAAAACUUUGCUUUAAAACUAUCCUGGGACCAUUCAGUGACAAACAUUUAAAAAGCUUGGAGGGGAAGUACCCUUGUUUAUUAUUUUAGCCCAGAACUUCCUUUCCUGUCCUAUCUAACUCCUAGGUAUCUGCUGUAUCAUCCGUGGUAUUCCAGAUUGGCUGUGCAGGGCUUGCUUCCUCAUGUCCAUGACGAGUCAAAAAGAGAUGUGGGGCCAGGACCCCUAAGCCUUGGCUGAAAGUGAAAUGUAGCAGUUCUCAAUGGGGUACCGCAGAGAAGCCUUCAGCUCUUUGCUUGAUGCUGGUUCUCAGCUAGCACUGGCUUUGCCUUGGAAACGUGGAAGAUGGUUCCAGCACCCAAAUACAGAAUAGUGUCUUUUGGUAGAUUGUCCUUUUUAGGAGACCCACCCGCAUGGUAACUCAGGACCGCACAGUGCUCUGCGAUUGGCAAUGGCGGUUUCAGGCCACUAUUUCAGACCAUCCUCAGGGGGCUCUGUGAGGUAAGAAGUAGGAAUCUAACUUUAGGAAUCCAGCUGAGGCUUUGAGGGGGUGAAAUGACUUACCCAGAGUCCAGAGUCACAUAGCUUGGCAAAUGGCAGAGUCGGAAGUGGAACCCAGGCCCAACUCCAAACCUUGGGCUCUUUCAAUGCUAUAAAGGGCUGGACUAAUGGUAGUUAUUAAAAUCAGUAUAAAUCUUUUUAUUAAAGGCCUGCUGAUGCCACGGCUGAGAUCCUUUUGUCUCAGAGCCAAGCUACCCUCUGGUACCGUCGGGUCAUGUCACCCCGCUGCCAUGUUCACCAUUUCCCCAGAGGGAACGGAACACUUUUCCUUUCAGAAGCUCCUCAGUCUGCAUCUC
Molecule: long non-coding RNA, 4776 nt
Organism: Lynx canadensis (Canada lynx)
Lineage: Eukaryota; Metazoa; Chordata; Mammalia; Carnivora; Felidae
Exons: 2
Source: RefSeq, a predicted model, not a curated record